Molecule: ribosomal RNA, 252 nt
Filed under: uncultured bacterium
Lineage: Bacteria
Description: partial 16S ribosomal RNA
Rfam family: Bacterial small subunit ribosomal RNA
Source: RNAcentral
UACGUAUGGUGCAAGCGUUAUCCGGAUUUACUGGGUGUAAAGGGAGCGUAGGCGGACUGUCAAGUCAGCGGUAAAAUUGAGAGGCUCAACCUCUUCCCGCCGUUGAAACUGGUGGUCUUGAGUGGAUGAGAAGUACGCGGAAUGCGUGGUGUAGCGGUGAAAUGCAUAGAUAUCACGCAGAACUCCGAUUGCGAAGGCAGCGUACCGGCAUCCAACUGACGCUGAGGCACGAAAGCGUGGGGAUCAAACAGG